Molecule: non-coding RNA, 70 nt
Filed under: unclassified sequences
Source: RNAcentral
GGCAGGGAUAGUGAUUCGAACACGACAAGCAGUAAGCCUUAACUGUUUCUCUGCCAAUACAAAAUAAGGC